This 672-nucleotide ribosomal RNA is filed under the name Pleurotus floridanus. RNAcentral describes it as "eukaryotic LSU rRNA". The stretch from base 531 to 672 matches the Rfam family "Eukaryotic large subunit ribosomal RNA", at positions 1 to 158 of the family's 3401-position model. Lineage: Eukaryota; Fungi; Basidiomycota; Agaricomycetes; Agaricales; Pleurotaceae. The record is from RNAcentral.
UGGAACUAAGAUUCUCCGCUCUUGAGUGCUCCUCAUGAUCAUCAGCAGCUGCUCCUCUUCUUGAUGAGCUCCUCAGCAUGAUCACCGACGACUCAGUCUAUUUACUUACACACCCCAAAUGUAUGUCUACGAAUGUUAUUUAAUGGGCCUUGUGCCUUUAAACCAUAAUACAACUUUCAACAACGGAUCUCUUGGCUCUCGCAUCGAUGAAGAACGCAGCGAAAUGCGAUAAGUAAUGUGAAUUGCAGAAUUCGACGACUCCUCGGCUUUUUAGACGAAUCCUCCGAUUAUUAGUAAACGCAACUGCAUGACAAUUUAAAUGCCAUUAAAUUCUCAAACUCACUUUGGUUUCUUUCCAAUUGUGAUGUUUGGAUUGUUGGGGGCUGCUGGCCUUGACAGGUCGGCUCCUCUUAAAUGCAUUAGCAGGACUUCUCAUUGCCUCUGCGCAUGAUGUGAUAAUUAUCACUCAUCAAUAGCACGCAUGAAUAGAGUCCAGCUCUCUAAUCGUCCGCAAGGACAAUUUGACAAUUUGACCUCAAAUCAGGUAGGACUACCCGCUGAACUUAAGCAUAUCAAUAAGCGGAGGAAAAGAAACUAACAAGGAUUCCCCUAGUAACUGCGAGUGAAGCGGGAAAAGCUCAACCCUCUGAAUAUCAAAGGGGCGCAAGGUGA